AAAUACUUCCUCUGAUCACUG
This 21-nucleotide microRNA is filed under the name Medicago truncatula (barrel medic). RNAcentral's name for it is "mtr-miR2637". Lineage: Eukaryota; Viridiplantae; Streptophyta; Magnoliopsida; Fabales; Fabaceae. The record is from miRBase by way of RNAcentral.